GUGAUUAUGUUAUCGCUCACCUAUAUGUUUAAUGUCAGCUAUGCUAAAUAACCCAUUUCUGUGUAAUUUGAGAGAAUGUUUUGACAUGUGGUUAAAGUAUGGCGUGCUAUUCAUGUUAUCAUUUAAAAAGUCGAUCCUAAAUAAAUCUGUCUUAAAAAAUACAUUUUACGAAUGACAUUUAAUAUGAUUGAUUAGAGUAUAGGUAUCCAUAUAUAAGAGAUAUUAUUUUGCAUUACAUUUAAACAUGUUUUUCUGUCCUGUUUGUCUGUCAAUUGUUGCUUUACUUCCUUUGUAAAAUGAGGUUAAAUUGAGUAUCACUGAAUAUUGUAUGCUUUUUUUUCAGGAUCAGCUAAGAUGUUAUUUCACUGGAUUAUUUAAUGGAUAGACUUAUUGGGCAUAUAUUUGGAUAUCUCUGGAUCAGCUAAGAUGUUAUUUCACUGGAUUAUUUAAUUGGGCAUAUAAUUGGAUAUCUCUGUCCUCAACAUGGAAGUUAUGUUUUAUUCCUAACCAUCUAUAAUCCAUUCUCUAUGAAGUUCAGCCUGUCUGCCCAAAUUCCUUUGGAAAUACAUAGUUAGUCAACCAACAUAGAAACAAUCAAACUUGAAGGGAAAGAAUACUACAAUGUGGCUCCUCAGGAUCAACAGUGAAAAAUCUUAAUCAAUAAUGACCCUCCUGACUAUGUCUAAAGGCUGUAACCUUUAUAGCUGAUGUAAGAUGAUCUGAUUGCAUGGCAUUAAAAUUUCCUGGUGUUUCUACCAUCCAGGAUCUUCUUAUGAGUGCAUGGGGACUGCUGUGGACCUUAACCUGUUUAUAAAAAUAUACCUUGGAGCAUGACACAUUAUUCAUAUAAGGAUUCUCAAUGGGGAACUCAGUAAAUUAUGCACAGUCUAACAGAAUAUACUCUCUUGGAACACUGAUACAAGAAUAUAAAACCAGAGAUGGAUGGAGGACUCAAGAAGCACAUGAAUAAAUAUGAUUCCAAACUAAGUCAAUCAUGAUGAUCAUGAAUUGUGGUUCACAGGAUAAGAGAGAAAGGACCCAGGAUUGUGCAUUUUUCUAGAUCCUCUCCCAUUCAUAUCCUUCAUAUGCUGGCAUACAAAACAAUAGAUAAAUUGUAGUCAUUUAACAGACUGAAGUUUAAUCAAAUCAAAGUAUUGAAAAUGUGUUUUUCUGAUAGUAUGAGAUCUUCAAAAAACUAAUUCUCACAGAUUUCAAAAUAUCUAAAUUUAACUUUUAAUUUAUGUAGUACAAAUUGAAUACAGUUGUUAUGUAUGACUUUUAUACAUUGAAUCCUUAAUUUUUCAUCUUAUAUCUACAACACCCCUAGAAAAUACACAGAUGUUUAGAAGCUAGCUUUGGUGUAAUUAUUACUUUCCUGGAACUGUAAAUACAUUUUGUUUGUGUAUGUGUGUGUCCUAUUUUGAAUUUAAUAGGUCUCAAUAGGACCCCCCUAAAGAUGCAGGUGUCCCCUUAUCUGUGAUGUAAUAAUAUCUUGAAUAUUUAUAUCACCCCAUAGACUUCAUGCUUACUUCACAGAACAGGUUAGAGUAAUACACUUAGUUUUACAUGAUAAUUUGUCAAGGUCAAAGCAUGAGAUUAUUGAGAUAACUACCUUUCAAAAUAAUUUGUAACCUUCAAACUUCACAUCAUAUGUAAAGAAUGAAUCGGAGAUUUUCUAUAUAUUUUUGGAUUAUUUUUUUCCUGGGUAAAAUUUAGUUGUUGUAACUUUAACAUUUUGUGAUAACUUAGAGACUUUAUAUCAGCUUUAUUGGGUGGCAUAGGAUAUUCUUUGGUAAGAAUUGAAAUGUAAAUCAUAUGCACUAUGUUCAAGGAUGUUUAAAGACUAUUACUAUGUAAUACCUUAGAAUUCUGUAAAAAUCUUAUCACUGCAUAGAUAAAGACUGGUUGGAAUAAUAUAUGUUUUGAAAUAAGGUUUAGGGAAAAAGUCAAGAAUGUGGAUAUGACUUUUAUUCAAAUGGUGCAGUACAGCAACUCUGGUGAUUUACAUACCUUCAGUCAUAAAUAGAUAGGUAUUGGGAAGACUCCUCUAGAUUUUGAAAUUUUCAUUCAAAAGUAUAGAACUUUUUUUAAAGUUUGAAAGAUUAAAUGGCAGCAUAUCAUUUGCUUAUGAAUUAAAAAACAAAUUCAAACAUAUACAUCUUUGGAUGAUAAUUGUAGAAUUUUAUCAAUUCCUGGACUUCCAUCUUGAUAUCAUCCUUUAAUGUCUUUAAAAUUUUAAUGAUUGUCUUUUAGUUUGAAUUGAAUUAGUUUCUUUUCUACAUGUGAAAAUGACAUCAUCCAAAGAAGUUCUUCAUCUGCAUGUUAUAUGAAGAAGACAAUUUUCAUCACAGUGAAAGAGAUUGUUUUGUUAAACAUAAUGCAUUGAUGCACAAAUAUAUUUUUAAAUUUCUAAUAGCAAGGGUUCAUAUUUCUUUAUAUGGAAUGCUAAGUACUGUUGAUUUCAUUUUUUUUAUGAACAAAGACAUACUAGUAGAAAAAAUGUACAUGAUGUGUCAGAAAAGCAUGCAGAAACUUGAUGACUUUAUCAUUGCUGAUUAAAUCAAAUUAUGAGUUUCAUCUUUGUUACAUUGUAAUCAUUUCUAAGUAGGGCACACAAUAGAAACUUAAAAUUAUUAUAUCAGGGUUUAACACAACAAUUCCAAAUGAUUUUUGGACGCUUUUUAUGUAUCAAUAAGACAAAACAGAAUGUUUGUUCACAGAUGUUCCAA
This is a long non-coding RNA of Saccostrea cuccullata (small rock oyster), 2729 nucleotides long. RefSeq lists it as uncharacterized. The transcript is spliced from 5 exons. The record is from RefSeq and is a predicted model, not a curated record. Lineage: Eukaryota; Metazoa; Mollusca; Bivalvia; Ostreida; Ostreidae.